UACGUAGGGGGCAAGCGUUGUCCGGAUUUAUUGGGCGUAAAGAGCGUGUAGGCGGCCAAGUAAGUCUGCUGUGAAAACUCGAGGCUUAACCUCGAGCUGUCGGCGGAAACUAUUUGGCUAGAGUCCGGAAGAGGAGAAUGGAAUUCCCGGUGUAGCGGUGAAAUGCGCAGAUAUCAGGAAGAACACCCGUGGCGAAGGCGGCUCUCUGGGACGGUACUGACGCUGAGACGCGAAAGCGUGGGGAGCGAACAGG
RNAcentral lists this ribosomal RNA (253 nucleotides) under uncultured bacterium. Its description in RNAcentral is "partial 16S ribosomal RNA". It matches the Rfam family "Bacterial small subunit ribosomal RNA", at positions 524 to 776 of the family's 1533-position model. The record is from RNAcentral.